CUCCCCAUCACUCACCUCCCGGUCAGCAGCCCCACCACCACCACCUGCCCCCCAGGGUGGAAAUCAGCGCACAGCCCGGUGUCCUGUGUGUGUGUGGGGAGGAUGGGGGAAAAGAAGGGGGGGGGGGGUCAUGUUCAUAGGCGGUUUAGGACCCCCUGCGCCCCCCCAGGACCCCCCCAUACCUCCAGGGCCAGGCUCCAUGCCAGCGCGUGCUCCUGCCCGUCCCACAGGCACAGCUGCCGGUCGUGGCCACAGCACCGUCCCGUCGCGGCGCCGGCACAGAGCGAAGACGCUGCCCUCGUGUGCCCGCGUCUGCUGCCCGAUCUGGUACGUCUCUGCGGGGACCCGUCCCCAUCCCUGCGUCCCCAU
Molecule: long non-coding RNA, 369 nt
Organism: Gallus gallus (chicken)
Lineage: Eukaryota; Metazoa; Chordata; Aves; Galliformes; Phasianidae
Exons: 2
Source: RefSeq, a predicted model, not a curated record